RNAcentral lists this microRNA precursor (96 nucleotides) under Podarcis lilfordi (Lilford's wall lizard). The record is from RNAcentral. Lineage: Eukaryota; Metazoa; Chordata; Lepidosauria; Squamata; Lacertidae.
GUGUGUGUGUGUGUGUGUGUGUGUGUGUGUGUGUGUGUGUCUGUGUGUGCGCGCGCAUGCACACACACACACACACACACACACACACACACACUU